CCUACGGGGUGCAGCAGUGGGGAAUAUUGGGCAAUGGGCGCAAGCCUGACCCAGCGACGCCGCGUGAGGGAAGACGGUCUUCGGAUUGUAAACCUCUUGCAGCAGGGAAGACAAAAGGACGGUACCUGCAGAAGAAGCCACGGCUAACUACGUGCCAGCAGCCGCGGUAAUACGGAGGUGGCAAGCGUUAUCCGGAAUUACUGGGUGUAAAGGGUGGGUAGGCGGGGCUGCAAGUCAGAUGUGAAAAUUAUGGGCUCACCCCAUAACCUGCGUCUGAAACUGUAGCUCUUGAGAGUGGGAGCGGUAAACGGAAUUCCCGGUGUAGCGGUGACAUGCGUAGAUAUCGGGAGGAACACCAGUGGCGCAGGCGGUUUACUGGACCACAACUGACGCUGAGCCAC
RNAcentral lists this ribosomal RNA (401 nucleotides) under uncultured bacterium. RNAcentral describes it as "partial 16S ribosomal RNA". It matches the Rfam family "Bacterial small subunit ribosomal RNA", at positions 338 to 754 of the family's 1533-position model. The record is from RNAcentral.